This is a long non-coding RNA of Lycium barbarum (goji berry), 701 nucleotides long. RefSeq lists it as uncharacterized. The record is from RefSeq and is a predicted model, not a curated record. NCBI's taxonomy places the organism in Eukaryota, Viridiplantae, Streptophyta, Magnoliopsida, Solanales, Solanaceae. The transcript has 3 exons.
GUUACUUCAUAUAGAUACAACAAAAACGUGAUUUCCAAGUGAUUUUGGUAGCACGUCACUUGCAAUUGUAAGGAAUAAAAGUAUAAUUCUUUCCAAGGACGACAUACGGAUUUAGCAUACCGCUUCGAUUACGUUAUUUUAUUUUGUUGCGUUGUUGAAUUCGGGCUUUUUUCGUAAUGAAGUAAGGCGGAAGAAGAUUAUUUCUUGAAAUAUAAGAUGAUGACUUGGUUUGUAUGUGGUCACUCACUACUCUGCUCGUGCAUGCUGUCAUUACGUCUUCCACCGAGUUCCGGGCCGGGUACAGAUAGUCGGUUUGGUGACCCUUCAGCAUAGGACUUCUACUCAGCUGUCUUGGAGAGCUCCAUUGUUCCGGAGCCUAGAGUUUUGGUACAGAUCUUUUGAUGUAUAUAUACAUUCAUCCAGGGGUACGGCGGGGCCCUGUCCCGUCAUAUUUCACUAUUGAUACUCUUAGAGGUCUGUAGACAUAUGUGUGGGUUGUGUAUAAGUUCAUUCGGCUGUGUCUAUCCGAUGUGCUAUGGAUAUGUUCGUCUGUAAUGGCAACUUUGUCGGCUUGCGUAUGGCAUUGAUAUUUCAUGGCAUCCUUAUCAGCUUGCGUAUGGUAUUGAUAUGUAGUGGCAGCCUUGUCGGCUUGCGUAUCAUGUUAUGUUUUGAUUAGUUGUGACUCCUCAGGAGACAGGUUA